This 486-nucleotide ribosomal RNA is filed under the name uncultured bacterium. RNAcentral's name for it is "partial 16S ribosomal RNA". It matches the Rfam family "Bacterial small subunit ribosomal RNA", at positions 28 to 523 of the family's 1533-position model. The record is from RNAcentral.
GACGAACGCUGGCGGCGUGCUUAACACAUGCAAGUCGAACGGUGAAGGAGGGAGCUUGCUCCUUCUGGAUCAGUGGCGAACGGGUGAGUAACACGUGAGUAACCUGCCCCAGACUCUGGGAUAAGCGCUGGAAACGGCGUCUAAUACCGGAUACGAGCUUCAGCCGCAUGGCUAGGAGCUGGAAAGAAUUUCGGUCUGGGAUGGACUCGCGGCCUAUCAGCUUGUUGGUGAGGUAACGGCUCACCAAGGCGACGACGGGUAGCCGGCCUGAGAGGGGGACCGGCCACACUGGGACUGAGACACGGCCCAGACUCCUACGGGAGGCAGCAGUGGGGAAUAUUGCGCAAUGGGCGAAAGCCUGACGCAGCAACGCCGCGUGAGGGAUGACGGCCUUCGGGUUGUAAACCUCUUUCAGCAGGGAAGAAGCGAAAGUGACGGUACCUGCAGAAGAAGCACCGGCUAACUACGUGCCAGCCGCCGCCGUAA